AUUGAACGCUGGCGGCAUGCCUAACACAUGCAAGUCGAACGGCAGCACGGCAGUAGCAAUACUGUGGGUGGCGAGUGGCGGACGGGUGAGGAAUACGUCGGAAUCUGCCCAGUCGUGGGGGAUAACUAGCCGAAAGGUUAGCUAAUACCGCAUACGACCGAGAGGUGAAGCGGGGGACCGCAAGGCCUCGCGCGAUUGGAUGAGCCGACGUCGGAUUAGCUAGUUGGUGGGGUAAAGGCCCACCAAGGCGACGAUCCGUAGCUGGUCUGAGAGGAUGAUCAGCCACACUGGAACUGAGACACGGUCCAGGACUCCUACGGGAGGCAGCAGUGGGGAAUAUUGGACAAUGGGCGCAAGCCUGAUCCAGCAAGUGCCGCGUGUGUCGAAG
RNAcentral lists this ribosomal RNA (388 nucleotides) under uncultured bacterium. RNAcentral describes it as "bacterial SSU rRNA". It matches the Rfam family "Bacterial small subunit ribosomal RNA", at positions 29 to 410 of the family's 1533-position model. The record is from RNAcentral.